AUGGGAUUGAAGACCCAUGGAUCCCAUCCCAAACCAUCUGGGAUUCUGGGAUCAGGGACACUCAGGAUCCAUCCCGGGGAAUUUUUAUGGAAUUCAGGGAUGGAAAAGGGAAGGGACACCCUUCCUGGAGCCGGGAAUUCCCAAAGAUUCCUUCCCAGCGAGGAGUUGGGAUGGGGCUGGAUCCAAUCCCGGAGAGGCAGAGCGGGAUUUGGGAAAAGGGCCCGGAAUGCUGGGACAGGGCUGGGAUUUGGGAACCUCGAAAUUCUGGGAAUGCCCAAGGCUGGGCUGGGACCACCCUGGGAACAUCAGGGCUGGAAUUCCUGGGAUUCUGGGCUGGGAUCACUCUGGGAACAUCGGAUGGGUCUGGAAUUCCUGGGAUUCCGGGCUGGGAUAACUGGGAAUAUCAAAGGGGCCUGGAAUUCCCAGGAUCCGCUUCCAACGGCCGCUCUCUGCCUCCAUUCCAGAGGAUUCCUUCUGCUCGGAGGAUUCCCUGCGCUCCGAGGAUUCCCUGCGCUCCGAGGAUUCCCUGCGGGAGGAUUCCCGCUGCUCGGAGGAUUCCGAGGAUUCCUGGGAGCGGCAGUUCCGGGCGCGUUUGGGCUCGCGGCCGCCGCUGCCGGCGGAGGCGGCGCUGGAUCCGGCGCUGGGAUCCGUGCGGGAAUUGUUCUGCGCCUGCACCGCGGCCGAGCCCCGGCAGCGCCCGCCCGCCGCCGCCCUGUGCCGGGCACUGGAGCCACUGCCCAUGGCAAUUCCACAGGAACUCCUGGAGUGAGGGCUCGGAGCUCCAGAACACCGGAAUUCCCGGAGCUCCAGAGCCCUGAAAUUCCCAGAGCUCCAGAGCCCCGAAAUUCCCAAAGCUCCAGCCCCAACAUUCCCAGGUUUCCAACUCUGCCACGCCCUGGAGCCGCUGCCCAUGGCAAUUCCACAGGAACUCCUGGAGUGAGGGCUCAGAGCUCCAGAAUUCCCGGAGUUCCAGCCCCAAAAUUCCCAGAUUUCCAACUCUGCUGGGCGCUGGAGCCGCUCCCUGUGGGAAUUCCCCAGGAACUCCUGGAGUGA
RNAcentral lists this long non-coding RNA (1053 nucleotides) under Parus major (Great Tit). Its description in RNAcentral is "lncRNA (ENSPMJG00000005802.1)". Lineage: Eukaryota; Metazoa; Chordata; Aves; Passeriformes; Paridae. The record is from RNAcentral.